This 77-nucleotide transfer RNA is filed under the name Pyrobaculum ferrireducens. Its description in RNAcentral is "tRNA-Cys". It matches the Rfam family "tRNA". From Rfam's summary of the family: Transfer RNA (tRNA) molecules are approximately 80 nucleotides in length. Their secondary structure includes four short double-helical elements and three loops (D, anti-codon, and T loops). Further hydrogen bonds mediate the characteristic L-shaped molecular structure. tRNAs have two regions of fundamental functional importance: the anti-codon, which is responsible for specific mRNA codon recognition, and the 3' end, to which the tRNAs corresponding amino acid is attached (by aminoacyl-tRNA synthetases). tRNAs cope with the degeneracy of the genetic code in two manners: having more than one tRNA (with a specific anti-codon) for a particular amino acid; and 'wobble' base-pairing, i.e. permitting non-standard base-pairing at the 3rd anti-codon position. The record is from RNAcentral. Lineage: Archaea; Thermoproteati; Thermoproteota; Thermoprotei; Thermoproteales; Thermoproteaceae.
GGCCCCGGUAGCUCAGCCCGGUUGGAGCGCCCAGGGGCAAUAAGCGGGAGGUCCCGGGUUCGAAUCCCGGCCGGGGC